GGCCCGUGGUUGUGCCGGAGUGCAUGGCAGCUUCCGAAGCUGUCGGACCGGGUUCGAUUCCUGGACGGGCUACUA
Molecule: transfer RNA, 75 nt
Filed under: Planctomycetota bacterium
Lineage: Bacteria; Pseudomonadati; Planctomycetota
Description: Planctomycetes bacterium (freshwater metagenome) tRNA-Arg
Source: RNAcentral